UGCCAGCCGCCGCGGUAAUACGAAGGGACCUAGCGUAGUUCGGAAUUACUGGGCUUAAAGAGUUCGUAGGUGGUUGAAAAAGUUGGUGGUGAAAUCCCAGAGCUUAACUCUGGAACUGCCAUCAAAACUUUUCAGCUAGAGUUUGAUAGAGGAAAGCAGAAUUUCUAGUGUAGAGGUGAAAUUCGUAGAUAUUAGAAAGAAUACCAAUUGCGAAGGCAGCUUUCUGGAUCAUUACUGACACUGAGAGACGACAGCUAGGGGAGCAAAUGGGAUUAGAUA
Molecule: ribosomal RNA, 279 nt
Filed under: uncultured bacterium
Lineage: Bacteria
Description: partial 16S ribosomal RNA
Rfam family: Bacterial small subunit ribosomal RNA
Source: RNAcentral